Molecule: long non-coding RNA, 1016 nt
Organism: Oncorhynchus kisutch (coho salmon)
Lineage: Eukaryota; Metazoa; Chordata; Actinopteri; Salmoniformes; Salmonidae
Exons: 2
Source: RefSeq, a predicted model, not a curated record
CCCACCUGGAGGAAAGAGGGAGACACCGUGAACCAGCUAACUAGCUAAAGUUGGUUGAAAAGUAUACAUAGGAAAAUUGAGCUGUGCUUGAGAGUAUGAAUCUAGCUACUAAUAUAAAUAACCUAGCUGGCUAACGUUAGCUAUAAAUACAAGCAAGAAAACGAGCUAGCCAGGGGUGUAUUCAUUACGGAAUCCGUUUAAGAACCAAACGGAAGCUAACAGCUAAACGAGAAUUCAUAUUGGACAAAUUCAGCCCUCUAUGUGGCAGUAGGCCUCCAGGCUGGAGAAGAGGACGUAGAGGAACCAGAGGCCCAGGAAGAAGAGGCUGGUGAUGAUGCGUGCUGUCCGCGGCCCUCCCAGCUCCCCCCCGAUAGAGGGCCGCCGGCGGAACAGUAGCACGCCCAUGCAGAUGAAGGCGAAGCUGGUGAAGAGGGUGACGGAGAAGGCCAGGGAGCCCGGGUCCACGCGGAAUUCCUUGCCCUGCACCUUCCAGUAGACGGCCGCCACUGACCACGCCACCCCGAUGCCCAGGAACACGUUGACCGCGUUGCUGCCUGUCACAUUGCCCACCGACGCGUCAGCGUGCUGGUCCUGCGUAGCCGCCACCUUGCUGGCAAACGUGUCUGAGGAGGGAGGGAGGAGGGUAGGAAGGUUGGGAGAGAACAGAGAGAAGAAAGACAAGUGAAGAAGUGAGAGAGAAGUACCUGUCAUCACAGCUUUCAGCAUCUUAGUCAUACUGUUGUCAUAAGUCAACCACAGACAACACUUGUUACCAUAAACAUAUUUCGUUGUGGUCACACAAGGACUUCACUAACUGGCCAAGCUGCAAGGCAGGAAGUUCUGCAAUUUCCCAAACCGUAAUGCUAUUACUGGCAACCUUAUACCUAACCCGUCAUAAAAUGAGGGCUGGUUAUGGUAUUUAAAUGACAUUAAGAUAUACACUGAACAAAAACAGAAACACCACAUGUAAAGUGUUGGUCAGAUGUUUCAUGAAAUAAAAGAUCCCUAAAAUGUUC